Molecule: ribosomal RNA, 157 nt
Filed under: Calluna vulgaris root associated fungus
Lineage: Eukaryota; Fungi
Description: 5.8S ribosomal RNA
Rfam family: 5.8S ribosomal RNA
About the family: 5.8S ribosomal RNA (5.8S rRNA) is a component of the large subunit of the eukaryotic ribosome. It is transcribed by RNA polymerase I as part of the 45S precursor that also contains 18S and 28S rRNA.
Source: RNAcentral
AACUUUCAACAAUGGAUCUCUUGGCUCUCGCAUCGAUGAAGAACGCAGCGAAACGCGAUAUGUAAUGUGAAUUGCAGAAUUCAGUGAAUCAUCGAAUCUUUGAACGCACCUUGCGCCCUUUGGUAUUCCAAAGGGCAUGCCUGUUUGAGUGUCAUUA